GCUGAGGCGGAGAGAAGCGAGUUGCCGGUGCGAAAUAUCUAAAUUUUUAAGAUUGUAUUACUGGUGAAGAUUGUGGAGAGAGAGAAAUUUUAAGGAAUAAUUUAUUGAAAAAGCCACAAGGAGAAGAGCCACGAGUGACACGUAGAGGAGUCCCAGAGGCUUAGUGGUAUAGAUCCACUGUCUCUUUUGGAUAUUUAAUUUAUGAUUUAUAAUGUGUUAUAUUGCCAAUAUUAGGACUUUUUUAUGUUUAUUGUCAAUUAUAUGAAUAUAUAAAUGUAAUCAUGCCUUUCAAACUAUUUCUAUUUUUGGUACAAUUUGGAUGACUGUAAUUUUAAUAUUUGGUUUACUUUGGAUUGGUUAAAAUGGCAUGAUUAUAAGGUC
Long non-coding RNA from Prosopis cineraria, 381 nucleotides. RefSeq lists it as uncharacterized. Lineage: Eukaryota; Viridiplantae; Streptophyta; Magnoliopsida; Fabales; Fabaceae. The transcript is spliced from 3 exons. The record is from RefSeq and is a predicted model, not a curated record.